Long non-coding RNA from Salvelinus namaycush (lake trout), 435 nucleotides. RefSeq lists it as uncharacterized. The transcript has 3 exons. Lineage: Eukaryota; Metazoa; Chordata; Actinopteri; Salmoniformes; Salmonidae. The record is from RefSeq and is a predicted model, not a curated record.
CAGACCUUGAAGACUCAUGCAGUGAUGAUGUGGAGGAUGCGGAAUCUGAGGGGGUGCAUUAUGCCACCGGCAGAAAGUCCAAGAUGAGCAUUGUCCUUAAAGACACUACAGACCAGCCAGAGAUGUACAUUGCUGUGGAUUCUCCACCUAUGAUUAAAUUAUCCAAGAUGAGGAAAGGCAUCCGGGGCUUCUUCUGGGGAGUCCAGAAGGCCUGGAAACGCUUGGUCACCUGCAAGUCCUCUGGGUCCUCUGAUGGGUAGCCUGGAUGACGUGCAGCCCAUGUCAGUUGCUUUUGCCAGGCUACAUCUGAGGAGGACACCACAACUGGCCUCAAUACAACAUUUUUAUUUUUGUUGUUCAUUUCUGUUUUCAUUUUGAGUCCCCUAAUGCUGCUCUAUUUGAACCAGGCUGUCAGUGGACUAGCUUACCAUUAGU